RNAcentral lists this unclassified non-coding RNA (270 nucleotides) under Hevea brasiliensis (rubber tree). Lineage: Eukaryota; Viridiplantae; Streptophyta; Magnoliopsida; Malpighiales; Euphorbiaceae. The record is from RNAcentral.
GCACAUCUGAAUUGGUAUCGUCGAGCUCAAGCACUUGAUGGAUCGGAGUUUCAUUUCCGUCACCAGUAGCUUCUUUCCGCACAUCACCAACGCGCUUAAGCAACUGGCCAAGAGUGCGAGAAACGCCGGCUGCGGUGCGUGAGGGAAAGGGGUCGAGCUUCAUACUCUGAGCGUAAAACGGCAGCGUAUCUCUAGUAGGAGAGAAAUUCUCCGCUACAACGCGAGACAUAAUUUUUAUAGACAAGGAAGUGUUCGAGCGUGUUUAUAGAG